GACGAACGCUGGCGGCGUGCUUAACACAUGCAAGUCGAACGGAAAGGCCCUGCUUUUGUGGGGUGCUCGAGUGGCGAACGGGUGAGUAACACGUGAGUAACCUGCCCUUGACUUUGGGAUAACUUCAGGAAACUGGGGCUAAUACCGGAUAGGAGCUCCUGCUGCAUGGUGGGGGUUGGAAAGUUUCGGCGGUUGGGGAUGGACUCGCGGCUUAUCAGCUUGUUGGUGGGGUAGUGGCUUACCAAGGCUUUGACGGGUAGCCGGCCUGAGAGGGUGACCGGCAACAUGGGACCUAGGAUAGGGCCCAGACUCCUACGGGAGGCAGCGGUGGGGAAUAUUGCACAAGGGGCGGAAGCCUGAUGCAGCAACGCCGCGUGCGGGAUGACGGCCUUCGGGUUGUAAACCGCUUUCGCCUGUGACGAAGCGUGAGUGACGGAAAUGGGUAAAGAAGCACCGGCUAACUACGU
This 467-nucleotide ribosomal RNA is filed under the name uncultured bacterium. RNAcentral describes it as "partial 16S ribosomal RNA". It matches the Rfam family "Bacterial small subunit ribosomal RNA", at positions 28 to 506 of the family's 1533-position model. The record is from RNAcentral.